UACAGAGGUCUCAAGCGUUGUUCGGAUUCAUUGGGCGUAAAGGGUGCGUAGGUGGCGCUGUAAGUCGGGUGUGAAAUCUCGGGGCUUAACUCCGAAAACUGCAUUCGAUACUGCCGUGCUUGAGGACUGGAGAGGAGACUGGAAAUUUACGGUGUAGCGGUGAAAUGCGUAGAUAUCGUAAGGAAGACCAGUGGCGAAGGCGGGUCUCUGGACAA
Molecule: ribosomal RNA, 215 nt
Filed under: uncultured bacterium
Lineage: Bacteria
Description: partial 16S ribosomal RNA
Rfam family: Bacterial small subunit ribosomal RNA
Source: RNAcentral